This 253-nucleotide ribosomal RNA is filed under the name uncultured bacterium. RNAcentral's name for it is "partial 16S ribosomal RNA". It matches the Rfam family "Bacterial small subunit ribosomal RNA", at positions 524 to 776 of the family's 1533-position model. The record is from RNAcentral.
GACGUAGGGUGCGAGCGUUGUCCGGAUUUAUUGGGCGUAAAGAGCUCGUAGGCGGCUUGUCGCGUCGUCUGUGAAAACCCGCAGCUCAACUGCGGGCUUGCAGGCGAUACGGGCAGGCUAGAGUUCGGUAGGGGAGACUGGAAUUCCUGGUGUAGCGGUGAAAUGCGCAGAUAUCAGGAGGAACACCGAUGGCGAAGGCAGGUCUCUGGGCCGAUACUGACGCUGAGGAGCGAAAGCGUGGGGAGCAAACAGG